RNAcentral lists this non-coding RNA (25 nucleotides) under Drosophila melanogaster (fruit fly). Lineage: Eukaryota; Metazoa; Arthropoda; Insecta; Diptera; Drosophilidae. The record is from RNAcentral.
AGCAUCAGAAGCGAAUAUUACCCAC